RNAcentral lists this ribosomal RNA (710 nucleotides) under uncultured forest soil bacterium. RNAcentral describes it as "bacterial SSU rRNA". It matches the Rfam family "Bacterial small subunit ribosomal RNA", at positions 64 to 767 of the family's 1533-position model. The record is from RNAcentral.
GAGCGGCAACAGGCGUAGCAAUACGUGCUGACGAGCGGCGAACGGGUGAGUAAUGCUUCGGAAUCUACCCAGUAGUGGGGAAUAACCAGCCGAAAGAUUGGCUAAUACCGCAUACGUCUGUAAAGGGAAAGCGGGGGCUCGUAAGACCUCGCGCUAUUGGAUGAGCCAAAGUCGGAUUAGCUAGUUGGUGGGGUAAUGGCCUACCAAGGCGACAAUCCGUAGCUGGUCUGAGAGGACGACCAGCCACACCGGAACUGAGACACGGUCCGGACUCCUACGGGAGGCAGCAGUGGGGAAUAUUGGACAAUGGGGGAAACCCUGAUCCAGCGACGCCGCGUGUGUGAAGAAGGCCUGCGGGUUGUAAAGCACUUUUAGUGGGGACAAAAAGCUACGGAUUAAUACUCUGUGGUCUUGAUUUAACCCAAAGAAAAAGCACCGGCUAACUCUGUGCCAGCAGCCGCGGUAAUACAGAGGGUGCGAGCGUUAAUCGGAAUUACUGGGCGUAAAGCGCGCGUAGACGGUUUUGUAAGUCAGAUGUGAAAUCCCUGGGCUCAACCUGGGAACUGCAUUUGAGACUGCAUGGCUAGAGUAUCGAAGAGGGAAGUGGAAUUUCCGGUGUAGCGGUGAAAUGCGUAGAUAUCGGAAGGAACACCAGUGGCGAAAGCGACUUCCUGGUCGAAUACUGACGUUCAUGUGCGGAAGCGUGGGGA